This 708-nucleotide ribosomal RNA is filed under the name uncultured bacterium. Its description in RNAcentral is "bacterial SSU rRNA". It matches the Rfam family "Bacterial small subunit ribosomal RNA", at positions 97 to 800 of the family's 1533-position model. The record is from RNAcentral.
GGCGCACGGGUGAGUAACACGUAUGCAACCUACCUUUAACAGGAGAAUAGCCCUGAGAAAUCGGGAUUAAUACUCCGUAAACAAAAAGCGAUGGCAUCAUCACUUUUUGAAAAGCUGAGGGCGGUUAAAGAUGGGCAUGCGCAACAUUAGUUAGUUGGCGAGGUAACGGCUCACCAAGACUACGAUGUUUAGGGGUUCUGAGAGGAUUACCCCCCACACUGGUACUGAGACACGGACCAGACUCCUACGGGAGGCAGCAGUGAGGAAUAUUGGGCAAUGGGUGCAACCCUGACCCAGCCAUGCCGCGUGCAGGAUGACUGCCCUAUGGGUUGUAAACUGCUUUUAUAAGGGAAGAAACCUGGAUACGUGUAUCCAGCUGACGGUACCUUAUGAAUAAGCCUCGGCUAACUCCGUGCCAGCAGCCGCGGUAAUACGGAGGAUGCAAGCGUUAUCCGGAUUCAUUGGGUCUAAAGGGUGCGUAGGCGGAAUAAUAAGUCAGUGGUGAAAUCCUACAGCUUAACUGUAGAACUGCCAUUGAUACUGUUGUUCUUGAGUGCAGUUGAAGUGGAUGGAAUGUGUCAUGUAGCGGUGAAAUGCUUAGAUAUGACACAGAACGCCGAUAGCGAAGGCGGUUCACUAAACUGUAACUGACGCUGAGGCGCGAAAGCGUGGGGAUGAAACAGGAUUAGAUACCCUGGGAGUCCACGC